GACAGAGGGUGCAAACGUUGUUCGGAAUUACUGGGCGUAAAGCGCGUGUAGGCGGCUGCGCAAGUCGGAUGUGAAAUCCCGUGGCUCAACCCACGGAAGUGCACCCCGAAACUGCGUAGCUGGAGUCUCGGAGAGGAAGGUGGAAUGCUUGGUGUAGAGGGUGAAAUUCGUAGAUAUCAAGCGGAACACCGGUGGCGAAGGCGGCCUUCCUGGACGAUGGACUGACGCUGAGACGCGAAAGCGUGGGGAGCAAACAGG
RNAcentral lists this ribosomal RNA (258 nucleotides) under uncultured bacterium. RNAcentral describes it as "partial 16S ribosomal RNA". It matches the Rfam family "Bacterial small subunit ribosomal RNA", at positions 524 to 776 of the family's 1533-position model. The record is from RNAcentral.